GAGGGAAUAGCUCAGUGGCAGAGCACAUGCUUAGCAUGCAUAAGGUCCUGGGUUCGAUCCCUAGUACCUCCA
This 72-nucleotide transfer RNA is filed under the name Camelus bactrianus (Bactrian camel). It matches the Rfam family "tRNA". From Rfam's summary of the family: Transfer RNA (tRNA) molecules are approximately 80 nucleotides in length. Their secondary structure includes four short double-helical elements and three loops (D, anti-codon, and T loops). Further hydrogen bonds mediate the characteristic L-shaped molecular structure. tRNAs have two regions of fundamental functional importance: the anti-codon, which is responsible for specific mRNA codon recognition, and the 3' end, to which the tRNAs corresponding amino acid is attached (by aminoacyl-tRNA synthetases). tRNAs cope with the degeneracy of the genetic code in two manners: having more than one tRNA (with a specific anti-codon) for a particular amino acid; and 'wobble' base-pairing, i.e. permitting non-standard base-pairing at the 3rd anti-codon position. Lineage: Eukaryota; Metazoa; Chordata; Mammalia; Artiodactyla; Camelidae. RNAcentral also lists the same sequence under 1 other name. The record is from Rfam by way of RNAcentral.